Molecule: RNA transcript, 3746 nt
Organism: Myotis myotis
Lineage: Eukaryota; Metazoa; Chordata; Mammalia; Chiroptera; Vespertilionidae
Gene name: zinc finger protein 596-like
Exons: 12
Source: RefSeq, a predicted model, not a curated record
GAAGCAGAUUCCCCGCUCUAGGGUUCCGUUGGCGGGAGCGAGUUUUGGUAUUUCCAGGUCAGGAUCGCUCGUGGAUACCCCAGCGCCGCGUCCUCCACACCCGCAGCCCGGGACCCAGGGACCUGGAGGAACUGCGCCCGCCCCGUCCGCCCGCCCCAGCCGCGGGGAGCCCCGCCCAGUCGGGGAGCUGCGGGCCCGGUCCGCUCCCUUGCAGGGGAUCUGGCCUCUGGGAAGGUGUCUGGACUCAAGGACCAUGUCCUGCCCACCAGUCCCCCAAAGCCCCACCUACUACGAACAUUAAGACUAAAGCCUUUCCUGGCCCUGUCCUGCUGCACUUUUUGCCUUGUGUUCCACUCUACCACCUUCAGAUCUGAUCAAAAGGCCUGUCCUCCCUGUUGAGUGACUCAGAGGAAAAUAAGAAAAAAUAAUGUCCAGAAUCCAGACAUUUAAACAACUCUUCCGUACCUCAGACCUCUUCACUCACCCAGGAAGGCCAAGGAUUCAGGUUUCCAUCCCUGUACAGGCACACGGCGGGCAGAGAGCAGAGCGUGGUAUCCACUAGACGCUGCCUGUUCUGUGAUGCUGAAGACUCUCCUUCCUGUGCACUGCAGAGAAGACUCAAAUUUCCAGAGCUUUUCAGCACGGGAAGAUGCUCACUGAAUAUUCUGAACCAUGGAGAUGUGUACCUGACACCUUUCAGGCUUUGCCUGUGUCCUUUUGUCUGUGAGUGAAAACCCAGAGAAAGAUACCUGGCAACUGAGUCACUGACCAUGCAGCCGCUGGUUGCCAUCUCUACCCUCCUACUCUGGACAUUGGCUGGGGUUACUCUGUCGAAACCAGAAUGUCCUUGAUGUUUCAGGAAUCAGUGAUAUUUGAAGAUGUAGCUGUAGACUUCACCCAGGAAGAGUGGGCCCUGCUGGAAACACCCCAGAGAAAGCUGUACAGAGAUGUGAUGCUGGAGAACAUCAGUCACCUGGUUUCCCUGGGGUAUCGGAUCUGCAAAUCAGAUGUGACUUUUCAGCUAGAGCAAGGAGAAGAGCUAUGGAGUGAAGGGACUGGGUUUCUCCAAGGCCAGAGUGCAGGCAGGGAAAGUGCCAUUCAAAAUGAAGAAAUGAUAGCCACACAACAUACCAGUGGAAAGGACACAUUUACAAUCAUGCAAUUGCAGAAAUUUCACACUCAAGAGGAUCCCUAUGAAUAUAAUGAUUUGGGAGCUUUCACUCAUAGCUCCAUAGUGACUCAACAUGUGUUAACUCAUAUGGAAAAGAAACCCUGUAUCAGCAAACAAUAUCAAAAAUCCUUUAGUGACCAGUCUUAUGUUAAUCAACAUAAGCAACUUUACACCAGAGUUAAAUCAUAUGAGUGCCAUCUAUGUAGGAAAACCUUCAGUAAUUGCUCUAGCCUUAGAAGACAUGAGAUGACUCACACUGGAGAGAAACCAUACGAAUGCCACAUCUGUGGGAAUGCCUUUAUUCAGAGCUCUGACCUUAGAAAACAUAGUCUCACUCAUACCGGAGAGAAACCUUAUGAAUGUCAUAUAUGUGGGAAAGCCUUCAGUCAGUCGUCUAACCUCAGACAGCACCAAAGGACACACACUGGAGAACAACCGUAUGAGUGUUGUCAGUGUGGGAAAGCCUUCAGUAAAUGUUCUGCCCUGAGACGACAUGAGAGAACUCACACAGGAGAGAAACCUUAUGGAUGUCAUCUGUGUGGGAAAGCCUUCAGUCAGUGUUCUGCCCUUAGACGACAUGAAGGAACCCACAAUGGAGAGAAAAUUUUGAAUGCCUUCAGUAAAUAUUCUGACCUGAGAUGACAUGGUAUUAUAAGUAAUGAAUAUAGAAGAAAACUCAAUCAUAGUUUUAACAUUAAAAAACAGCAAGGACUCACACAUUAAGGAAACACUGUCUGUGAUCAAUGUGGAAGGUCCUGCAGUCAUUCUUACUCAUCUUCCAUGUGCAAAUGUAGAUGGAAGACAAUCCAGUUGCAUGGAAUCUCUCUGGCAAAGCCUUCAGCCACUCGUCUGACCAUAGGUGACAUGGGAGAACUCACACUGGAAGUAUAAAGAAUGCAGAAGUCUGCAGCAACAGCUCUCAGCUUCAUACUAGAAAAUUCACACAGGGGAGAACCCCUCAGUCUGCAGUCACUGGGAAUGCUUUCAUUUAUAAUUCAUGCUGACUUCAGGUGUGAUCCAGGGUAAAAUUUGCAUUUUCCUCCAUGUUCCUUCCCAACUAAUAGGGGCUUUGGCAUGCACCACAACAUCUUAGUAACAGGCACCAGGUGAGAUGCUGGAACUGCAGGGCCUUUGGGCACAAGGCAAGCAGGUGUCCACUGAAGCGUUGGAAUAGGAUCCACACACGCUGAGACCUGAUCACAACACAAGAGGAAAUAUGUGAGAGACCCUGAUCUCACCCCUUGGUCACCGAAAAGGAAAUGUGUCAUGACAUCCACAGCACUUCCUAUUGAAGGUGUUGAGAGAAGCACCUGCUUACCUCCUGUACCAAAGAAUGGACAGGAAGGUCCUGUUACAGACUCCCCUCAUGCAGAAGGCACACGCUUUGGUCAGGAUCCCAGCCACAGUGUCCAUGAGGGGGACAACAGGCCCCAUUCUGCCUUCAGCACCCAGGGCCUGGACCAAGCCCUCAUCCACCAGCCACAGGCCAAGUUCCCUGACGGGAACUCACACAGCAUCCAGCAUGCUGCUGCACACAGUGUGGGCCAGGACUCUGAUCUCAUCAUCAAGGUACCCGGCAAGAGAGCUGCCCAGACCUCCAGCCAUAUUUUCUAGAAACCCCAAAGAAACCGAGACUCAGCCCCAGCUGGAAGAGCACCCAGAGACAAGACCUUCAACCUCCGCUCCAGCACCCUCUCAUCAAGACUCUCCAGCCCUGCCAUGUGUCCCAGUUCCCACCAGUUCCCGAGGUUCCAGGCCAGCCCCUCAGAAUGGUCUUCACCACAUUAGACAAAGGCCAGUGGAGUUCCAGGUGCACGACACCUCCAUCCUCCCUCCUGCUGAGAUGCUCACAGCUGCUGCUCAGAUCCCUCCCACCACUGAGAAGUCAGAGGCAUUCUGUCCUUGUGUCUCCUUGAGUGUCCUCCUUGAGGCCCUUCAGCUGUCCUCUUCCUCUGAAGAAGGUGAUGGCCAGUGAGACACUCCAUGUCAGAGAAGACAUGUUCUUCAGUCCCAGGCCACCUGGAAGUACCUGAGGAACUGGAGAGGGAUGGUCACUUGGGGAAAAUGUUUCUGGGGAAUCAGAGCUUCCCUUCUGUGCUGUGUGGACAGAUGGUGGAACCCUGAUCAUGCUUGGGGCACAAGGCUCAGUUAUUGGACUUUAAUGUACCUAGGUGUAGUGGCAUUUCAAAUGGUGCUUUUAUAAUAAACUAUUUGUUCUUAUAGAACUGGUAAGGGAAGUAUGUAUUUAGAAAUUUUCAUCCAUUGUAUGUAAAAGUAAGUUAAGUUGCAAUAAUUGCCCUUAAGUCUAGUGGAAAUAGGAAGCUCUGUAAUGAAUCGGUAUCAGGUGUGCACCUGUCUGCUUUGGGGAACCUGGGGCAGGGCCACCUGUGUGGUCUGGAGAUUUGAAGUAGUGCCUGUGGUCCUGAGGUGAGACUCUUUCACUGUGCUGUGUUAUUUCAAUGGAAAUCAGGACAGGGACCCUUCCCAUGACUUUGUACCUUUUGUUUAUGGAAUGUCAUAUUAAAGUUCUGUUUUAGAGUUUGUGUUUGAUAUCAAUAAAAGUCUGCAAAAUAGG